Molecule: non-coding RNA, 774 nt
Filed under: Rhyacionia leptotubula (pine tip moth)
Lineage: Eukaryota; Metazoa; Arthropoda; Insecta; Lepidoptera; Tortricidae
Source: RNAcentral
AAUAAAAAUUUUUAUGAUUUUGAAAAUUUUUUAAAAAUUUAUUUUACAUAUGAAUUUUAGUAUUAAAUUUUAAUUAUUUAAAAAAUAAUUAAUUUUUUUGUAGUAAUUAGCAUUAAAAAUUUAAGAAAUUAAGAUUUAGUAAUAUAAAAAUUAAUAACAAAUUUUGUGCCAGCAGUUGCGGUUAAACAAAAAUUAAAUUAAAUUUUAUUAGGUAAAUUAAUAAAUAAUUAAAUUUAAUUUAAAUAUUAAAUUAUAAGGUGAAAUUUUAAUUUAAUUAAAAAUUAUUGGAAGAUUAUGAAUUAAUAAAUUUUAUUAUAAACUAGGAUUAGAUACCCUAUUAUUAAAAAUUUAAAUUAAAAUACUAAAAUAGUAUGUAAUUAUUUAUUGAAACUUAAAUAAUUUGGCGGUGUUUUAGUUCAUUUAGAGGAAUCUGUUUAUUAAUUGAUAAUCCACGAAUAAUUUUACUUAAUAAAAAAUUUUGUAUAUCGUUGUUAAAAAAAUAUUUUUGGAUAAAUUUAAUAUUUAAAAAUUUAUAAAAAAAAAUUAAAUCAGAUCAAGAUGCAGAUUAUAAUUAAGAAUAUAAUGGAUUACAAUAAAUUUAUUUAAAUGAAUAUUAAAUUGAAAUAUUAAAUUGAAAGUGGAUUUAAAUGUAAUUUUAUUUAAUUUAUUAAAAUGAUUAGAAAUUAAAAUAUGUACAUAUUGCCCGUCGCUUUCAUUUAUAAGUUGAAAUAAGUCGUAACAAAGUAGAAGUACUGGAAAGUGUUUCUAGAAAAA